Molecule: transfer RNA, 70 nt
Filed under: Marmota monax (woodchuck)
Lineage: Eukaryota; Metazoa; Chordata; Mammalia; Rodentia; Sciuridae
Description: tRNA.Ala
Source: RNAcentral
GGGGCUGUGGCUCAGCGGUAAGCGCUCGCCUAGCAUGUGCGAGGCCCUGGGUUCCAUCCUCAGCACCACA